GCCAGGUGCGGUGGUGCACACCUGUAAUCCCAGAUGCUUGAGAGGCUGAGACAGGAGGAUCAUGGGUUCAAGGCCAGCCUCAGCAAAAGUGAAGCACUAAGCAGCUCAGUGAGACCCUGUCUCUA
Molecule: small RNA, 125 nt
Filed under: Marmota monax (woodchuck)
Lineage: Eukaryota; Metazoa; Chordata; Mammalia; Rodentia; Sciuridae
Source: RNAcentral